AGUGAACGCUGGCGGUAGGCCUAACACAUGCAAGUCGAACGGCAGCACAGUAAGAGCUUGCUCUUACGGGUGGCGAGUGGCGGACGGGUGAGGAAUACAUCGGAAUCUACUUUUUCGUGGGGGAUAACGUAGGGAAACUUACGCUAAUACCGCAUACGACCUACGGGUGAAAGCAGGGGAUCUUCGGACCUUGCGCGAUUGAAUGAGCCGAUGUCGGAUUAGCUAGUUGGCGGGGUAAAGGCCCACCAAGGCGACGAUCCGUAGCUGGUCUGAGAGGAUGAUCAGCCCCCCUGGACAUGAGACCCGGUCCAGACUCCUACGGGAGGCAGCAGUGGGGAAUAUUGGACAAUGGGCGCAAGCCUGAUCCAGCCAUACCGCGUGGGUGAAGAAGGCCUUCGGGUUGUAAAGCCCUUUUGUUGGGAAAGAAAAGCAGCAGGUUAAUACCCCGCUAUUCUGACGGUACCCAAAGAAUAAGCACCGGCUAACUUCGU
This 491-nucleotide ribosomal RNA is filed under the name uncultured bacterium. RNAcentral's name for it is "partial 16S ribosomal RNA". It matches the Rfam family "Bacterial small subunit ribosomal RNA", at positions 29 to 506 of the family's 1533-position model. The record is from RNAcentral.